This 48-nucleotide non-coding RNA is filed under the name Schistosoma curassoni. Lineage: Eukaryota; Metazoa; Platyhelminthes; Trematoda; Strigeidida; Schistosomatidae. The record is from RNAcentral.
AUCCAGCUGACGAGCCCCACGUAGGACGAAAUGCGCGUCAAACUGGAU